This 543-nucleotide ribosomal RNA is filed under the name Isbrueckerichthys alipionis. RNAcentral's name for it is "partial 16S ribosomal RNA". It matches the Rfam family "Bacterial large subunit ribosomal RNA", at positions 1851 to 2597 of the family's 2925-position model. The record is from RNAcentral. Lineage: Eukaryota; Metazoa; Chordata; Actinopteri; Siluriformes; Loricariidae.
GGUCUUGCCUGCCCAGUGACUGUAAGUUAAACGGCCGCGGUAUUUUGACCGUGCAAAGGUAGCGCAAUCACUUGUCUUUUAAAUGAAGACCUGUAUGAAUGGUGGAACGAGGGCUUAACUGUCUCCCUCAUCUAGUCAAUGAAAUUGAUCUACCCGUGCAGAAGCGGGUAUUGUAAUACAAGACGAGAAGACCCUUUGGAGCUUAAGACAAAAGACCAACUAUGUCAAGAGUACCAAAAAUGAAACUAAACCAAAUAGCACUGGUCCCAGUCUUCGGUUGGGGUGACCGCGGGAGAGAAUUAAGCUCCCAUGUGGACUGGGACAACCCCCCAAAACUAAGAAAGACAUCUCUAAGGCACAGAACAUCUGACCAUAAAGAUCCGGCUAUACGCCGACCAACGGACCAAGUUACCCUAGGGAUAACAGCGCAAUCCCCUUCCAGAGUCCAUAUCGACAAGGGGGUUUACGACCUCGAUGUUGGAUCAGGACAUCCUAAUGGUGCAGCCGCUAUUAAGGGUUCGUUUGUUCAACGAUUAAAGUCCU